This 888-nucleotide ribosomal RNA is filed under the name uncultured archaeon. RNAcentral describes it as "bacterial SSU rRNA". It matches the Rfam family "Archaeal small subunit ribosomal RNA", at positions 1 to 876 of the family's 1478-position model. The record is from RNAcentral.
AUUUUCCCGGUUGAUCCUGCCGGACCCGACUGCUAUCAGAAUAGGACUAAGCCAUGCGAGUCAACGUACACAUAGUAGCAAUACUAUGUGUUCGUGGCAUACGGCUCAGUAACACGUAGUCAACAUGCCCAGGGGACGUGGAUAACCUCGGGAAACUGAGGAUAAACCGCGAUAGGUCAUAAUGUCUGGAAUGAUUUAUGGCUGAAAUCUACAUGGCCUCUGGAUUGGACUGCGGCCGAUCAGGCUGUUGGUGAGGUAAUGGCCCACCAAACCUAAAACCGGUACGGGCUCUGAGAGGAGGAGCCCGGAGAUGGGCACUGAGACAAGGGCCCAGGCCCUAUGGGGCGCAGCAGGCGCGAAACCUCUGCAAUAGGCGAAAGCUUGACAGGGUUAUUCUGAGUGGUUUCCGCUAAGGAAAUCUUUUGGCACCUCUAAAAAUGGUGCAGAAUAAGGGGUGGGCAAGCCUGGUGUCAGCCGCCGCGGUAAUACCAGCACCCCGAGUGGUCGGGACGAUUAUUGGGCCUAAAGCAUCCGUAGCCGGUUCUGCAAGUCUUCCGUUAAAUCCACCUGCUCAACAGUUGGGCUGCGGAGGAUACUAUAGAGCUAGGAGGCGGGAGAGGCAAGCGGUACUUAGUGGGUAGGGGUAAAAUCCGUUGAUCCACUGAAGACCACCAGUGGCGAAGGCGGCUUGCCAGAACGCGCUCGACGGUGAGGGAUGAAAGCUGGGGGAGCAAACCGGAUUAGAUACCCGGGUAGUCCCAGCUGUAAACGAUGCAGACUCGGUGAUGGACUAGCUUCAUGCUAGUCCAGUGCCGCAGGGAAGCCGUUAAGUCUGCCGCCUGGGUAGUACGGUCGCAAGACUGAAACUUAAAGGAAUUGGCGGGAAAU